GUUUUAUACAGACCAGGGUCUGUACCGACCCCGAGCUGGACUGAGGAGGUUUUAUACAGACCAGGGUCUGUAUCGACCCCGAGCUGGACUGAGGAGGUUUUAUACAGACCAGGGUCUGUACCGACCCCGAGCUGGACUGAGGAGGUUUUAUACAGACCAGGGUCUGUACUGAGCUGGACUGAGGAGGUUUUAUACAGACCAGGGUCUGUGAUCAACCAAGAUGGACUGAGGAGGUUUUAUACAGACCAGGAUCUGUACCGACCCAGAACUGAACUGAGGAGGUUUUAUACAGACCAGGGUCUGUACCGACCCAGAGCUGGACUGAGGAGGUUUUAUACAGACCAGGGUCUGUACCGACCCAGAGCUGGACUGAGGAGGUUUUAUACAGACCAGGGUCUGUGAUCAACCAAGAUGGACUGAGGAGGUUUUAUACAGACCAGGAUCUGUACCGACCCAGAACUGAACUGAGGAGGUUUUAUACAGACCAGGGUCUGUACCGACCCAGAGCUGGACUGAGGAGGUUUUAUACAGACCAGGGUCUGUACCGACCCAGAGCUGGACUGAGGAGGUUUUAUACAGACCAGGGUCUGUGAUCAACCAAGAUGGACUGAGGAGGUUUUAUACAGAUCAGGGUCUGGACUGAGGAGGUUUUAUACAGACCAGGGUCUGUACCGACCCAGAACUGGACUGAGGAGGUUUUAUACAGACCAGGGUCUGUACCGACCCAGAACUGGACUGAGGAGGUUUUAUACAGACCAGGGUCUGUACCGACCCCGAGCUGCACUGAGGAGGUUUUAUACAGACCAGGGUCUGUACCGACCCAGAGCUGGACUGAGGAGGUUUUAUACAGACCAGGGUCUGUACCGACCCAGAGCUGGACUGAGGAGGUUUUAUACAGACCAGGGUCUGUGAUCAACCAAGAUGGACUGAGGAGGUUUUAUACAGACCAGGAUCUGUACCGACCCAGACCUGAACUGAGGAGGUUUUAUACAGACCAGGGUCUGUACCGACCCAGAGCUGGACUGAGGAGGUUUUAUACAGACCAGGGUCUGUACCGACCCAGAGCUGGACUGAGGAGGUUUUAUACAGACCAGGGUCUGUGAUCAACCAAGAUGGACUGAGGAGGUUUUAUACAGACCAGGGUCUGUACCGAGCUGGACUGAGGAGGUUUUAUACAGACCAGGAUCUGUACCGACCCAGAACUGGACUGAGGAGGUUUUAUACAGACCAGGGUCUGUAUCGACCCAGAGCUGGACUGAGGAGGUUUUAUACAGACCAGGGUCUGUACCGACCCAGAACUGGACUGAGGAGGUUUUAUACAGACCAGGGUCUGUACCGACCCAGAGCUGGACUGAGGAGGUUUUAUACAGACCAGGCUCUGUGAUCAACCAAGAUGGACUGAGGAGGUUUUAUACAGACCAGGAUCUGUACCGACCCAGAACUGGACUGAGGAGGUUUUAUACAGACCAGGGUCUGUAUCGACCCAGAGCUGGACUGAGGAGGUUUUAUACAGACCAGGGUCUGUACCGACCCCGAGCUGGACUGAGGAGGUUUUAUACAGACAGGGUCUGUGAUCAACCAAGAUGGACUGAGGAGGUUUUAUACAGACCAGGAUCUGUACCGAGCUGGACUGAGGAGGUUUUAUACAGACCAGGGUCUGUAUCGACCCAGAGCUGGACUGAGGGGUUUUAUACAGACCAGGGUCUGUACCGACCCAGAGCUGGACUGAGGAGGUUUUAUACAGACCAGGGUCUGUAUCGACCCCGAGCUGGACUGAGGAGGAUUUAUACAGACCAGGGUCUGUACCGAGCUGGACUGAGGGGUUUUAUACAGACCAGGGUCUGUACCGAGCUGGACUGAGGAGGUUUUAUACAGACCAGGGUCUGUACCGACCCAGAGCUGGACUGAGGAGGUUUUAUACAGACCAGGGUCUGUACCGAG
RNAcentral lists this long non-coding RNA (1941 nucleotides) under Salmo salar (Atlantic salmon). RNAcentral's name for it is "lncRNA (ENSSSAG00000108223.1)". The record is from RNAcentral. Lineage: Eukaryota; Metazoa; Chordata; Actinopteri; Salmoniformes; Salmonidae.